RNAcentral lists this ribosomal RNA (364 nucleotides) under Laonice sp. NHM 048. RNAcentral's name for it is "partial large subunit ribosomal RNA". It matches the Rfam family "Bacterial large subunit ribosomal RNA", at positions 1944 to 2527 of the family's 2925-position model. Lineage: Eukaryota; Metazoa; Annelida; Polychaeta; Spionida; Spionidae. The record is from RNAcentral.
GACCGUGCUAAGGUAGCAUAAUCAUUUGCCUCUUAAUUGGUGGCUAGUAUGAAUGGACACACGCAAGUACCCCUGUCUCAUUAGCACAUAUAAAAAUUACCAAUCAGGUGAAGAGGCCUGAAUACAAUAAAAAGACAAAAAGACCCUAUGGAGCUUUAUUUAACACCUCAAUACUACCAGCUCACACCACCCUACUUUGAGUAAAUAAAUUUAGUUGGGGCGACUAAGGAAAACUAUAAAUCUUCCUCAUAAAAAAGAAAAUAAAUCCUCAUUGAUCCGUUAUACGAAUAAAGACACAGCUACCCUAGGGAUAACAGGCUAAUUCUUCUCGAGAGCCCAAAUUGACAGAAGAGAUUGGCACCUC